GCAAGAUACCACGGGCGCACGGCGGAUGCCUUGGCACAGGGAGCCGAUGAAGGACGCGGCAAGCUGCGAUAAUCCCCGGCGAGGAGCACACAUCCUUCGACCCGGGGGUCUCCGAAUGGGCGAACCCAUCCGUAGCAGUACGGAUAUCCCCCCGCUGAACACAUAGGCGGGGGGAGGACAACCCGGGGAACUGAAACAUCUAAGUACCCGGAGGAGAGGAAAUCAAUCUCGAGACUCCCCGAGUAGCGGCGAGCGAAAGGGGACCGAUGGCCAAACCGUCGAGCGGGCAUACCCGGCAGGGGUUCCGCCGACGGGGUUGCAGGGCCGCGCAUCCGGGGGCUGCCGCCCCCGGGCGCAGGUCCGGCUGGGGAGCGGAACGGCAUGGGAGGGCCGGCCGCAGCGGGUGACAGCCCCGUACGCGAACCCAGACCGGACGGCGCGACGCGGUCCCUGAGUAGGGCCGGGCACGUGAAACCCGGUCCGAACCUGGGUGGACCACCAUCCAAGCCUGAGUACUACCCUGUGACCGAUAGCGCACCAGUACCGUGAGGGAAAGGUGAAAAGCACCCCGGGAGGGGAGUGAAACAGUACCUGAAACCGUGCGCCCACGAGCAGUCGGAGCACCUUUAUGGUGUGACGGCGUGCCUUUUGUAGAAUGAGCCAGCGAGUCGCUGGCGCGGGGCGAGGUUAACCGAAAGGGAGCCGGAGCGAAAGCGAGCCUUAACAGGGCGACUUGAGUCCCGCGCCGCGGACGCGAAGCCGGGUGAGCUAUCCGUGGGCAGGCUGAAGCGGGGGUAAGACCCCGUGGAGGGCCGAACGCACGUCGGUUGAAAACGGCGGCGAUGACCUGCGGAUAGGGGUGAAAGGCCAAUCAAACCCGGAGAUAUCUCGUUCUCCCCGAAAUAGCUUUAGGGCUAGCGUCGCGCGUUCACCGCCGGAGGUAGAGCACCGGAUGGACGAGGGGGCUUCGCCGCCUACCGAAUCCAACCGAACUCCGAAUGCCGGCGGCCCAGAGCGCGGCAGUCAGAGCAUGUGGGCUAAGCUGUGUGCUCGAGAGGGAAACAGCCCGGACCGCCCGCUAAGGUCCCCAAGUUCCAGCCGAGUGGCAAAGGAUGUGCGUCCGCCCAGACAACCAGGAUGUUGGCUUAGAAGCAGCCAUACAUUCAAAGAGUGCGUAACAGCUCACUGGUCGAGUGGACAUGCGCCGACAAUACACGGGGCUAAGCUGGACACCGAAGCGGCGGGAUUUUAAUUCAUUAGAAUCGGUAGGGGAGCUUCCCAUGGGCGGAGAAGCCGGAGGGCGACCGACGGUGGAGCGCAUGGGAGUGAGAAUGCUGGCAUGAGUAGCGAGAGACGAGAGAGUAACUCGUCCGCCGUGAACCCGAGGUUUCCUGGGCAAGGCUAAUCCUCCCAGGGUCAGUCGGGGGCUAAGGCGAGGCCGGGAGGCGUAGCCGACGCGCAGCAGGCAGACAUUCCUGCACCGCGCACGCGGCGCUACGACCGACGGGGCGACGGAUGGGGGUGGCUCGGCGGGGUUCUGGACGUCCCCGUGAUGGAGCGCGGCCCGCGGACCAGGGAAAUCCGGUCCGCAGAAGGGCGAGGCUCCGGACGAAGCACUUAAGCGAAGCGAGUGAGCCCGAGGUCCCUAGAAAAACCCCUAGGCAGGCGCGUGCGCGCCCGUACCGCAAACCGACACAGGUGGGUGGGUAGAACAUACCGAGGCGAUCGGGUCAACCAUGGUCAAGGAACUCGGCACAAUGGCCCCGUAACUUCGGGAGAAGGGGUGCCCGCGCGUACGUGAACCGGCUUGCCCGGGGAGCGGAGGCGGGCCGCAGUGGAGAGGCCCAAGCGACUGUUUACCAAAAACACAGGACUCUGCAGAAGCCGCAAGGCGACGUAUAGGGUCUGACGCCUGCCCGGUGCCGGAAGGUCACGCGGAGGAGUUAGCCGCAAGGCGAAGCCCCGAAGCCAAGCCCCGGUAAACGGCGGCCGUAACUAUAACGGUCCUAAGGUAGCGAAAUUCCUUGUCGGGU
RNAcentral lists this ribosomal RNA (2033 nucleotides) under human gut metagenome. Its description in RNAcentral is "bacterial LSU rRNA". It matches the Rfam family "Bacterial large subunit ribosomal RNA", at positions 1 to 1977 of the family's 2925-position model. The record is from RNAcentral.